This 84-nucleotide microRNA precursor is filed under the name Bombyx mori (domestic silkworm). RNAcentral describes it as "mir-2807 microRNA precursor family". It matches the Rfam family "mir-2807 microRNA precursor family". The record is from Rfam by way of RNAcentral. Lineage: Eukaryota; Metazoa; Arthropoda; Insecta; Lepidoptera; Bombycidae.
UUAACUGAAAUUUGUAUAGAGUUGGAAAGUUUGCCUACGUUUGCCGCUAGGGGCGCUGUCCCAACUGCAUACAAAUUUAAGUUA